GUUAGGGUUAGGGUUAGGGUUAGGGUUAGGGUUAGGGUUAGGGUUAGGGUUAGGGUUAGGGUUAGGUUUAUGUCAUUGUUCAACGGCCCUCCCCAUGACUAGCAUGAAGAGAGACCGAGGUAAAUGCACUGGCCGUCGCUCGUCAAGCAUUAAGCCAUCAGUACUUUAGGUCCUCCUAUUCAGGAAUUUGCCUUUAUGGGCUUCAAAAGCUCCUCCCAUUACCAUGAAUUAACUAUGGUUAGGUGUAAGUAUAGGGUGUGGUUAAUGGUUGCAUGUGUUUUGCUUUUAUGUGCACUGGCCUAGAGGUCACCCAGGAGGCCUCCCUGAUGUGUGCAGUGUAUAUAUGGGUAUGCAGGAAAGAGGGAAGGGGAAUGAGGGCGGGGCGGGGCGGG
Clupea harengus (Atlantic herring) is the source of this 392-nucleotide long non-coding RNA. RefSeq lists it as uncharacterized. The record is from RefSeq and is a predicted model, not a curated record. NCBI's taxonomy places the organism in Eukaryota, Metazoa, Chordata, Actinopteri, Clupeiformes, Clupeidae. The transcript is spliced from 3 exons.